Molecule: long non-coding RNA, 648 nt
Filed under: Callithrix jacchus (white-tufted-ear marmoset)
Lineage: Eukaryota; Metazoa; Chordata; Mammalia; Primates; Cebidae
Description: lncRNA (ENSCJAG00000085542.1)
Source: RNAcentral
UUGAUACAGGGUCUCACUCUGUCAUCCAGGUUGGAGUGCAGUGGCAUCAUCAAAGCUCCCUGCAGCCUCAACCUCCUGAGCUCAAGCAAUUCUCUUUCCUCAGCCUCCCAGAGCAGAAUCCAGUCAUAAGAAAUCAGACAUUUUAUUCAAGACAAUCUACUUAUUGACUGAGAAAGAAUUAGCACCCUAUCAGCAGAUUCUCAGUUUAGAAAAAUAUUCAUCCUUAGCAAUAGCCAACUACUUAAGAUUUCCUGAACCAACCAUACUGAAUCGGGAGUUAUCAUUGCCUGUGCACUCAGAAUAUUUCCUUUUACUUGAAGUCUUCAUUCAUCAUCCUUCAGAAUCAUCUGUUAGGCUUUACUAGCUCUGAGAAGACUUCCUUGAUACGCUGAAGCCACAACUCCUUCCCUGCAACCAUCCAACAUGAAGUUGUUCAUUCAAUCUUCAGAAAAAUGUCCACACUAUUGCUGCAUUUACCACUUUAUAAACCAAAUAUCUGUUUAGAUACUGUUUUCCCUACAAAUCCAUGAACAUUUUGAGUAAAGUAACUGUAUGUUUACACAUUAAAUGUGCCUGAUUAUUUUAAUGGGCCCACAGAAAAAUGGAAAUCUGUAGUGAAAGUCUAUUGUUUCCUCUAAGUGUGUCAGA